Long non-coding RNA from Cephus cinctus (wheat stem sawfly), 1197 nucleotides. RefSeq lists it as uncharacterized. The transcript is spliced from 4 exons. The record is from RefSeq and is a predicted model, not a curated record. NCBI's taxonomy places the organism in Eukaryota, Metazoa, Arthropoda, Insecta, Hymenoptera, Cephidae.
GAUAAUAUAUUUCUUUACUAUAACCACACAGCAGAAAAUGUUUGUGGAAAAUUCACAGAACGUUCAUAUGACUUUCAGGGUACUUUCUUAGGGUAGACAUUACGAAUAUUGCUAUAUUUAAAGAUAUAUUACGAUAAAUCUGUGCAUCUUUUAUAAGUCUAUUUCGAUUUAAGUAUACAAUCACAUGAUCAAAAUUCAUUAUUUCACGGAAGAUGAGACGAAGUGAAUGUAACUUUAAUGAGUACAGUUAGGUCUGUUCCGGUAGACGAACAAUAAGGCUGGGAUGAUAAGACACUGUGCAUUUCUUGCCCCUCACUUAAAAACGUGUAAUAGUAGAUAUAUAUAUUUCGAAGAGUUAUAAGAGCGUAAAAAAAGUAUUUUUGUAGAUGAGCAUGCGUGGAAGUUCUUGAAUACCAACAGAACCUGACUCUGAACUCUUGCUGGGCGCAUGCGUCUAUACGGUUGGUCAUAGAUCGAUACGGCUAUAUUCAACAAAUCGUGAGGGAAGAGUAACAAACUUAUCCUAGAUAUAAUACCACGUGUUUCUGAGAGCUAAAACUUUUACGUUAACAGUAUCCGCUAAUGAUCAAUUAGCCCACGUCCAAGACAUCCAUUAAACAGGAGCAUCCCACCAGGAAUACAAAUUAGCCACGUGCCAGCAACCAUUCAAAAGCAUCACGAGAUGGAUAAACCCUUGGAGGCAUGCAGCUGCAGUCUCUGAUCGUGCAGGUGAAAAUACGUAGAGCAGAUGUACCACCUUUGUACGCGAAGCACGUGGCAAGAAGUAUUUAAGACACUGACCUAAUAAAGCGCAAUAGGAUUGCCAUUGGAUUACGUAUCUGCUUCUGUGGAAUUUACCAUCGAUUCUCGUGGUAAAUUAACUAGUGGCAUGCAAUGCCAAUCGGAUUGAAUGAAAUCGAUCGAAGCACGUUAUCGGCAUCCGGUAAAAAGCACGUAAACGUGAUGAAGAAAUAUGCCAUCUGAAGUGGAUGGAACUUUCAGCACCGAACAUCCAUUCUUCGUUCAAUUUUCAACCGCACUGUUAAAAUCUCAUUUGUACAUCAUACAGGUAAACUCAAACGUACAGAUGUGUAAUGUAUGUAAACGCAUGCGUACGGGCUUAUUACGUAAGGGAACACAUAUGUGGAUAUAUUUUUAAAAAGAUAAUGAAAAAAUAAAUACUUUAUAUGCUAUGAC